GACGAACGCUGGCGGCGUGCCUAACACAUGCAAGUCGAACGGAGUUAACCGCUGAAUUGAAGGUAGCUUGCUACUGAAUUUUCUUGGUUAACUUAGUGGCGGACGGGUGAGUAACGCGUGAGCAACCUGCCUUACAGAGGGGGACAACAUUGGGAAACCGAUGCUAAUACCGCAUAACAUAUAUUUGUGGCAUCACAGAUAUAUCAAAGGAGCAAUCCGCUGUAAGAUGGGCUCGCGUCCGAUUAGAUAGCUGGUGAGGUAACGGCUCACCAAGUCGACGAUCGGUAGCCGGACUGAGAGGUUGAACGGCCACAUUGGGACUGAGACACGGCCCAG
This 336-nucleotide ribosomal RNA is filed under the name uncultured bacterium. RNAcentral describes it as "bacterial SSU rRNA". It matches the Rfam family "Bacterial small subunit ribosomal RNA", at positions 28 to 334 of the family's 1533-position model. The record is from RNAcentral.